This 30-nucleotide non-coding RNA is filed under the name Homo sapiens (human). The record is from RNAcentral. Lineage: Eukaryota; Metazoa; Chordata; Mammalia; Primates; Hominidae.
UCAAAGCUGAUUCUCUUACAACUACACGAG